GCUGGGAUAGCUUGGUUGGUAGAGCAUGAAACUCUCCAUCUCAGAGAUGUGGGUUUGAGCCCCACAUUGGACA
Non-coding RNA from Podarcis lilfordi (Lilford's wall lizard), 73 nucleotides. Lineage: Eukaryota; Metazoa; Chordata; Lepidosauria; Squamata; Lacertidae. The record is from the annotation of a GenBank genome assembly.